This is a non-coding RNA of Penaeus vannamei (Pacific white shrimp), 2334 nucleotides long. The record is from RefSeq and is a predicted model, not a curated record. NCBI's taxonomy places the organism in Eukaryota, Metazoa, Arthropoda, Malacostraca, Decapoda, Penaeidae.
CCUUCCAGAGCUCAUUGAUCGCCGAAGCUUCGAGACAGUGACAACAAGAGAGCUAAUCUGUGUUGAUUUAUCACCUGACUAUCCUACGCCAUCUUGAAAAUAUUGAUAGGAGUAUCGCCAUCUUAAUCCGCACGAAAUCGGGAAACAACACCUCACCCGUUCUAGAACCUUCGGCAAGACCCUCUCCAAGACACCAGAGAACACCUACAUAGGCCUACAUACUCUACACUCGCUCCUCAACCCGAAGCUCGCAAUGGCCGCCCUGCCCGUCGACGCCGCCCGCGAAGCCGCCAUGUCCGAGGAGCUGACCCGCUUCUGGUCGAGCAUGGGGCGGAGGUUCGAGUGGGAGCGCCCCAACCCGCAGAGCUUCCUGGGCCGCCCGCUCGCCCGCGCCAACACCUGGGAGGACCUCGUCGCGCCCCUGGGACAGACUCUCCCCGACGCCCCCCAGUACUCGAAGGAGGAUGUGGCCAAGGAGGAGGUCGAGGAGCAGGCCGCGCAGGUGGACGGGUUCCUGGCGAAGGCGGGGCUGGAGAGCGACCUCGACCUGCAGGAGGACGUGCUGCAAGGUUGCGUCAGCAGGUCAGAUUCGCCAGCCGACUGCGUGGUGGACGGGGCGCGGAUCGGAGACGUGCCCGCGAGGUACGUGGUCAGGGGUCUGCAGGGCCACGAGCUGCCGGUGGUGGGCACCUACGUGGACCCCAACAUCGUCACGGGCUUCUGCUACCAGGUCCGCCCGGUCGAUGCCAAGAAGGCGCUCUUCCAGGUAAGGAGGGUUUCCUCGGGGCUUCCUGGUCGCAUCACCUUCGCCAGCGACAAGCACAACAUCAACGACAACUACUUCUGGUCCGACACACACCCCGAGGGCUACGGCUUCGCCCUCCGCCUGGUGCAGGAGGGGGACAAGUUCACCCUCAGGGACGCCAACGGGUACUCCGUCGCCACGGCUGAGGUCAUCGGCCUCUUGGGCCCCCAGACCGAGGUGAGCCACAGAGUCCUGGAGAACGGCGGGAUAGAGAAGAGGGCGCAGGUGUCCGUCCUGUGCAACGUGUCCUACUUCGACGAGCCCCACGCCGAGCUCAGGCCCGUGGCCAUCUCGGGCGUCGCCGUGUCCCUGAGGGCCAAGGGCGCCAGGGCCGUGGCCUCCCUCAAGAAGAUUAAGGAGUGCAGCGUCGGCGGCGAGCGAGGCUACACGCUGGUGGCCGGCGUGGACUCCUCUUCCCGCGUCACGAUGCUCAGCGGGGACAAGAUCGGCGACGUGCCCACCAAGUACUACGUCACCGGCCUCCUUCCUCACGAGCAGCCCGUGGCGGGCACCUUCGUGGACCCGAGGAUCCUCACGGGCUUCAGCUACCGCGUGCGCCCGGCCGACGCCAAGAAGCACCUCGGUAGGCCCCCUCGUCCUGCAGGGGAUCGGCAGGGGCUACGGCAAGAGGCUGACCUUCGCCAGCACCAGUCUCAACAACAACGAAAACUACUUCUGGAGCGACUCUCACCCCGAGGGCUACGGCUUCUCCAUCCAGGCGGUCGUCCCCGGAGACAGUUUCAGAAUCAUGAGUUCUUCGGGCGAGGAGGUCGGGCGCGCGCAGGUGUUCCGCGCCGACCUGCCGCAGGUGGAGGAGAGCUCGACCGUCUCGAGCGAAGGCCACGUCACCAAGAGGGUCCGCGUCACCGUCACCUGCGACGUCACCUUCCACGGCGAGGACGACCGCACUCUCGCUGUCACGGGCACGGCCGUGGUGGUCCGGCGGGGACGCGUGGCCCGGGCGCUGAGGCUGGAGGACGUCGCCAUCGGGUCCCAGAUCAGCGUCCUGUUCAGCCGAGCCAGCGAGACCCUCACCUUCGUCCGGGAGUGAUCCGUCUCCGGUUGAAAUUGCGAUAAAAAAUAUAUAUUUAUUUCUCUUCUUCCCUUUCUUCCUUUUCGUCGUGAUGCUAUUCUGUAUUCUCCUCUUUUUCCUUGUCUUCUUCGUCGAGAUUUUCUUUCGACUGUGAUUCUCCAAGGACUCUGAGGAUGCUUUUAACUCGCACGUCGAUUAUUUUUUAUAUAUCCAGAAAAAGUAGUUUUACUUACGUUAAAUUAUUAUUUAAAUAUAAAUAUAUAUUUAGAGAAACAGAGAGAGAGACGCGCUAUAAUGCUCAAAUGUUAUUAAGUGAUAUUUUGAAAGAAAGAAUGAUGUAUGUUGUAUUUGAAUGCUUGCAAAGACUCCAUUAUACGAUGUUUGUAGCGAAUGUUUCAUAAAACGUAUUUUCGAAAUGUUUGCAAUGUGCCGCUACUCAUUGCAUACAUGAUAUUUUAUGAUAAAAGUCUUAAAAUAAUAAAGUUAUUUUAUGAGA